RNAcentral lists this transfer RNA (73 nucleotides) under Ictidomys tridecemlineatus (thirteen-lined ground squirrel). RNAcentral's name for it is "Spermophilus tridecemlineatus (thirteen-lined ground squirrel) tRNA". It matches the Rfam family "tRNA". Rfam says of the family: Transfer RNA (tRNA) molecules are approximately 80 nucleotides in length. Their secondary structure includes four short double-helical elements and three loops (D, anti-codon, and T loops). The record is from Rfam by way of RNAcentral. Lineage: Eukaryota; Metazoa; Chordata; Mammalia; Rodentia; Sciuridae.
UGCAAUAUAGCUCAGUUGGUGGAGUGCUUGCCUCACAUGCACAAGGCCCUGGGUUCAAUUCCCAGCAUCACAC